Long non-coding RNA from Pipistrellus kuhlii (Kuhl's pipistrelle), 284 nucleotides. RefSeq lists it as uncharacterized. NCBI's taxonomy places the organism in Eukaryota, Metazoa, Chordata, Mammalia, Chiroptera, Vespertilionidae. The transcript has 2 exons. The record is from RefSeq and is a predicted model, not a curated record.
UUUUUUUUUAUGAGCAUGCUGCCAACAUUCCAAGCUCUGGUAAGAGAAACCAAAAACUUGUGCUAUAUUGCCACCUUCUGGAAAAUAAAAGAAAGCACCCUACUUAGGAACUUGUUAAAUUGUUAAAAUCAAGAUGGUAAUGAAAACGGGUAAAGAUUGGAUGUAGGCAGUGUUGUAAAAGAGAAUCAGGUGUUGCAGUGAGUGAAAGUAAGAGGUAAAGGAAACGAAAGAGUCAAAGUUAACUUGUUCUAAAACCUUGCAAUUGAUAGGUUUAACUUCAUAAA